UUGAAGUCUUUUAUGACUGAUUGGCGGACGGGUGAGUAACGCGUGGGUAACCUGCCUCAUACAGGGGGAUAGCAGCUGGAAACGGCUGGUAAUACCGCAUAAGCGCACGGUAUCGCAUGAUACAGUGUGAAAAACUCCGGUGGUAUGAGAUGGACCCGCGUCUGAUUAGCUAGUUGGUGAGGUAACGGCCCACCAAGGCGACGAUCAGUAGCCGACCUGAGAGGGUGACCAGCCACAUUGGGACUGAGACACGGCCCAGACUCCUACGGGAGGCAGCAGUGGGGAAUAUUGCACAAUGGAGGAAACUCUGAUGCAGCGACGCCGCGUGAGUGAAGAAGUAGUUCGCUAUGUAAAGCUCUAUCAGCAGGGAAGAUAGUGACGGUACCUGACUAAGAAGCUCCGGCUAAAUACGUGCCAGCAGCCGCGGUAAUACGUAUGGAGCAAGCGUUAUCCGGAUUUACUGGGUGUAAAGGGAGUGUAGGUGGCCAGGCAAGUCAGAAGUGAAAGCCCGGGGCUCAACCCCGGGACUGCUUUUGAAACUGCAGGGCUAGAGUGCAGGAGGGGCAAGUGGAAUUCCUAGUGUAGCGGUGAAAUGCGUAGAUAUUAGGAGGAACACCAGUGGCGAAGGCGGCUUGCUGGACUGUAACUGACACUGAGGCUCGAAAGCGUGGGGAGCAAACAGGAUUAGAUACCCUGGUAGUCCACGCCGUAAACGAUGACUGCUAGGUG
This 729-nucleotide ribosomal RNA is filed under the name uncultured bacterium. Its description in RNAcentral is "bacterial SSU rRNA". It matches the Rfam family "Bacterial small subunit ribosomal RNA", at positions 74 to 822 of the family's 1533-position model. The record is from RNAcentral.